UACGUAGGGGGCGAGCGUUAUCCGGAAUCACUGGGCGUAAAGGGUGCGUAGGCGGCCAAAUAAGCCAGGGGUGAAAGGCUACGGCUUAACCGUAGUAAGCCUUUGGAACUGUAUGGCUUGAGUGCAGGAGAGGAGAGUGGAAUUCCUAGUGUAGCGGUGAAAUGCGUAGAUAUUAGGAGGAACACCAGUGGCGAAGGCGACUCUCUGGACUGCAACUGACGCUGAGGCACGAAAGCGUGGGGAGCGAACAGGAUUAGAUACCCUGGUAGUCCACGCCGUAAACGAUGAGUGCUAGGUGUCGGGGGUUCACACCCUCGGUGCCGGAGUUAACGCAUUAAGCACUCCGCCUGGGGAGUACGGUCGCAAGACUGAA
RNAcentral lists this ribosomal RNA (373 nucleotides) under uncultured bacterium. RNAcentral's name for it is "bacterial SSU rRNA". It matches the Rfam family "Bacterial small subunit ribosomal RNA", at positions 524 to 898 of the family's 1533-position model. The record is from RNAcentral.